Long non-coding RNA from Ixodes scapularis (black-legged tick), 233 nucleotides. RefSeq lists it as uncharacterized. The record is from RefSeq and is a predicted model, not a curated record. Lineage: Eukaryota; Metazoa; Arthropoda; Arachnida; Ixodida; Ixodidae. The transcript has 3 exons.
CGAAAGUAAUACCGAAUCACUGACCGGUCCCACUUCACAGUUCGUUCAUCAAGGGAUAUGUUUGGGUCUCCAUCGACAGGACAAGUUGCCUGCUUCAUGAAGACCUUCCUUGAUAAUGUGCGACAUGGGCGAUUGCCGUACGUGUGAUCAUCGAUGCCUCCAUCUCCCUGCAAAGUUUGCGUCAUCAGACAUUGCAGCACAUCAUACCUACGACAGACGGUGGUGCCUGCCGU